Molecule: ribosomal RNA, 497 nt
Filed under: uncultured bacterium
Lineage: Bacteria
Description: partial 16S ribosomal RNA
Rfam family: Bacterial small subunit ribosomal RNA
Source: RNAcentral
GAUAAACGCUGGCGGCGUGCCUAAUACAUGCAAGUCGAGCGAACAGACGAGGAGCUUGCUCCUCUGACGUUAGCGGCGGACGGGUGAGUAACACGUGGAUAACCUACCUAUAAGACUGGGAUAACUUCGGGAAACCGGAGCUAAUACCGGAUAAUAUAUUGAACCGCAUGGUUCAAUAGUGAAAGACGGUUUUGCUGUCACUUAUAGAUGGAUCCGCGCCGCAUUAGCUAGUUGGUAAGGUAACGGCUUACCAAGGCAACGAUGCGUAGCCGACCUGAGAGGGUGAUCGGCCACACUGGAACUGAGACACGGUCCAGACUCCUACGGGAGGCAGCAGUAGGGAAUCUUCCGCAAUGGGCGAAAGCCUGACGGAGCAACGCCGCGUGAGUGAUGAAGGUCUUCGGAUCGUAAAACUCUGUUAUUAGGGAAGGACAAAUGUGUAAGUAACUAUGCACGUCUUGACGGUACCUAAUCAGAAAGCCACGGCUAACUACGUG